AGAGUUUGAUCAUGGCUCAGAACGAACGCUGGCGGCAGGCCUCAAACAUGCAAGUCUAGGGGGCGUAGCAAUACGUCACCGGCGGACGGGUGCGUAACACGUGGGAAUAUACCUUUCGGUACGGAACAACUGAGGGAAACUUCAGCUAAUACCGUAUACGUCCUAACGGAGAAAGAUUUAUCGCCGAAGGAUUAGCCCGCGUUCGAUUAGCUAGUUGGUGAGGUAAUGGCUCACCAAGGCAACGAUCGAUAGCUGUUCUGAGAGGAAGAUCAGCCACACUGGGACUGAGACACGGCCCAGACUCCUACGGGAGGCAGCAGUUGGGAAUCUUGGACAAUGGGGGCAACCCUGAUCCAGCCAUGCCGCGUGAGUGAUGAAGGCCUUCGGGUUGUAAAGCUCUUUUACCCGGGAAGAUAAUGACUGUACCGGGAGAAUAAGCUCCGGCUAACUUCGUGCCAGCAGCCGCGGUAAUACGAAGGGGGCUAGCGUUGUUCGGAAUUACUGGGCGUAAAGCGCGCGCAGGCGGUUUCUCAAGUCAGUGGUGAAAGCCCGGAGCUCAACUCCGGAACUGCCAUUGAAACUGUGAAACUUGAGGACGAGAGAGGUGAGUGGAAUUCCCAGUGUAGAGGUGAAAUUCGUAGAUAUUGGGAAGAACACCGGUGGCGAAGGCGGCUCACUGGCUCGUUUCUGACGCUCAGGCGCGACAGCGUGGGGAUCAAACAGGAUUAGAUACCCUAGUAGUCC
This 744-nucleotide ribosomal RNA is filed under the name uncultured bacterium. RNAcentral's name for it is "bacterial SSU rRNA". It matches the Rfam family "Bacterial small subunit ribosomal RNA", at positions 8 to 796 of the family's 1533-position model. The record is from RNAcentral.